UCAGAGCAAACGAAGUGGUUGCUGCGAAACCCUAGCCGCAUACAGAGGAUAAAGAGCAAAGCAAUUGCUGCGAUAACCCCAAACAUUUUCAGAGACAAAACAGUGUGGAAAUAGAAUUUCCCAUAAUAAACAGAGACUAGAUCACAUUCUUCAUCACAUCGUUUUCAUCAUUUUAAUGGGUUGAGACUCGAAAGGGCCGAGAGACAUGCCCCCUCAGUCUUCAGGUUGUUUACUUGAAAGUUUUGAUGGCAUGAGUGGAGUCGGAAAAAAGAAAAUAAGUGACGAGGUUCCCAUUCCAGAGCCUGCCAUAGGUGUUGGUGCUGCCCUUGGUGCAGACAUAGAGGCGGAGGAAGCCGUUGCAUUGCUCCCCCUUGCCGAGAGGCCUUUUGAUGCAGUCAUAUACCAGCCGCGUACGCAUGUGCCACCUCCUAGCGGCAUCUUGAGAUUCGAGGGCUUCAUUCCCGAGUUGGAUGAGGAUACUCUACUGCGAGAGCCCAUGGAGCUUAUCUCUGCUGACGCUUCCACGGUGAUCGCCAGGAGGAUAGGCGGCUACGGCUCUAUCUCUGGCCCCCGACAUUGGUAUGAGCGACUUCCCGCAGAGGUCCGCACUUCGGUAGAUGCUGCUGGCUUUGGGCCCUUUUGCUCCGGGUUUAUCCAGACGAGGGUCGAGUCUUGGCUUUAUGGGGCCUUGGUAGAGAGAUGGUGGGACACCACCAGCUCAUUUCACUUCUCUUUUACCGGAGAUAUGACACUGACCCCAUAUGACUUCUUGAUAUUGAUCGGUUUGCGGGUUGGGGUUGGCGGCCCAGUCCCUUUCGAUCCAGAUAUGACUCAGUGGAGAGAUGCAUAGCUCCAACUUCUUGGGGCGAUCCCAGACACUACCAGCCACAGGAUGGUGCGCUACAGCUGGUUCUUGGAGCACUUCUCCGGCACACAGCCAGCCACUGCAGACGAGGUUGCCCAGUACACCCGUGGUUCCUCAUAUAUCUCCUCAGCACUACCCUGUUUGCAAACAGGGAAAAUACCAUGAGAUUAUACAUUCUAGGAGCAUUGGUGCAUCUUCCUCGGGUAGCGGAUUACGACUGGGGUGGCGUAGGUCUGGCCACCUUAUACUGUUACACGUGCUUCGUUUCCCACCGUAAGAUGGAUUCACUCGGCGGCUACUGGAGGGUUUGGGAGCUUUGGGUCUACACAUAUUUCACUCUGUUGGCCCCAGUUCCAGUGAGGCCGGUUGAGUUGUCUGUACCCCGCUCUCAGUAUUACAACUCACGGUUCGAGCGACGUCACCUUGUAGAUCGCACCUUCCCAUAUUUCCGCCGUUUCUUUGACACUAUCACAGCUGAUCAGGCAUUCCCUAAGUGUCGAGGGUGACCUACACCGCUGCCUGGCAUGCUUCCACGAUGAGGAUCUGUUCGAGGGCCUUUUUGGCUGGGCAUACUACCUGGGAGAUUGAUUCAUCCGCUAGACUCGGGGCGUUGCUGACCCUGAUAUUUCGCAUCCUCCUUCUGCCGGCAUGAGGGUGGUAGAUGAUUUAUAGGAUGGUCCUGAGCUGGACCACUUGAUGAUAGGUGAAGACGGCGAUCGUCACCAUGAGCCCGGCGACUUCACUACUUUCUUACACACUCGGGUGAUGGCACCUCUUACUCCAGGCGUGGCUCGAGCUGUACCAGAGGUUGUUGUUGCUCUUGCUGCCGGGGCUAGCGAUAUGCUUAUUGGAGGUGCCUCUGCCGUUGCUCCUAUUCCUGGAUUGCUUUUGUUUCCCACCGAGAUUAUGUACAUGCGUCCAGAUGGAGUGAUUAAUCAGAUUCCACUUGAGCCCGUCGAGGAGAGGGACGGCAAACUUGUGUUUGCCCUUGGUGUUGAGCAAAUUCCCCGGGCAUAUGGUGACGAGCUCCUUCGGACGAUUGACCGACUACUCAUCAUGUUACGGAGGAGACAAACUGUUUUAGUCACCCACGGGAUUGAGGUACAUUCUGUGUGUAGCCUACUGUCAUUGCCAUACUGUACACCUCUGAUCACUCUAUCUGAUAUUUGAUAUCUGAUAUUAUAACUAUUAAAACAUUAAAUUAUGCACCAGAUUCUGGAUGCCCAUGUUUUGCAAAUUCAAACAUUGGACCUAUUGAAAUUAUGCACUUUCAGAAAGAAAAAAACGAAUACUAGUUGUCAGUUAACAACAGCCAUCUAAUAUUUCACAUAGGCCCAAAUUUUUUCCAGAUUAAAUAUCAAAAUGAAAUCUUACUUGGCUUAUGUUUUUGAAAAAUUAAUUAGAAUGAGAUAUUAUUUGACUCUGCUUUUGAAAAUUAAGACAUUCAGCAAUAAGAAUUUGUUACCAUUAUGUUUUCUUGAUGGAUCUUAGGAAAAGGAUAAAUUGGCCAAACAGUUGAGCCAUCUCCGUCACAUAGUCUAAGACAAAAUUUGCAUAGAAAGCAAGUUAUGAUUGAACAGAAACAUAAGCAAUGAAAUUCUAUGAAAGGUGAAAAAACAAAUCAAUACACACUACAAUUAUGAAUUUCUGUCUGACGCUUGAGGGACUACAACAAAACAAAAUAGAAAUUGGUUUGAAUGAGAAUUAAAGUGGGAAUGCAUUACAAGUUCAUGAUCUAAUCUUCAACAUAGAGUAACCAAGUUACAAACAUCAGAUAAUCACAGAGGCAAGUUUUGCAAGGAUGGAGGUAACUAAACUACCACUUGUGUUCCAGGACAUACCAAAAAGAACAGAGAGAUUUGAUAAAGAAUAUGCAUAUAGUACACGACAUAACUACGGAAAGAAGGGAAGAGAACGAAAAUUUGCCAGGCCAAUCUACAAUCCCAAUUCCGACAACCUUGAAUACAGGAAUACUUCUCACAAUUUAUAUAAUUCUUGAGGAAACUAACAAUGAGUCCUUCAGUUGUUGCUACUUGAUGUAUAUGUUCAAAUGAAAACAUUAUUGCCAUUCAGUGAGUGGUUUCUCUUUAUGUAUGUUGAUUGGAACCAAGUGCCUGAGGAUAUUCUUGAAUCAAUAUGGGUGGACAUUAAGGUAAAAGCCUAUUUUGUAAAUUGUUUAAUUAUAUUAUUAAUUAAACUAAUGAUUUAAAUUGUAUUGUGGGAUAAUUUACAAAUUUGUAUAGAGGGGUACAAAUCACGUUGCUUGAAAAAGUGCAAUGACUUGUGGAAGGAUCACAAAAGCAAGAUCAAGAAUAAGUAUUUUUAGUGAAGUCUCAUCCUAAUAUCAAAGAUAUGGUGCGUUCACAAAUUGUUCCAGAACAGUGGCAAUUGCAGUCCAUAAUGCUAGAAGUCAUUCCUUUCAUUAUAUUAAUCAUACGAAAGGACGUACUUCAUUCAACCAGAUUCGAAGGAAGAUGACUGCUGGAGGGUUGGCCAUUGAUAAAAUGAGUGUUUGGAAAUAUACACAAUCAAACUGACCUUGAUGUUAGGCCGACCAUGGUAUGUUGCCUGAAGAUUACCACACUACUGAAGAUACUCGAGAUGGUGUUUUCCACAAGGUGGUCAGUGAAAACGGGCAUGGAUAUUGUCCAACUUACAACAAGGAUGUGCUUUGGAGCACGGUGUAUGGAGAUGCAUCUAAAGUCAUCACAGUCAGGAUCUCAGUCAUCGACUGUUGUUGAGAUCACCAAGCAGGUUCGUAUGGAGUUGAGACAAGAGCUGAGGGAUGAGAUUAGAGAGGAAUUGAGAGAGGAGAUGCGAGUAGAGCUUUUGACACAGAUACGAGUGCAAAUCACAACAAACAGGUACCGGAAGCAUUGAGUGGCCAUUGUGAACCUACGGAUUAUGAGGCCGAUGAGAACCCACGUACACCACCACCAGAUGAUGAGAUGCAACCCCUUUUGAGUACGUGGUGAUAUCUUUGCAUAUCGAUAUUGGAACUUAUUGUUGAUAUUAAAACAAGCUAUAAUAUAUAUUUUUUUAUUUGUAUUGUCGAUACUUUUGUUUUGUUUUAGAUGCAAAAAUUUAAGUUCUUGAAUAUAUCAAAAAUUUUAAGUAUUGUUGGAGAAUGUUUUAUAUAAUUUUGUAAAGAAUAUUUGGUUGACAAUUGUUAAAGGAUACAUAUAUAUUAUUCUUCCUAUGAUUUAUUCUUCA
Camellia sinensis is the source of this 4078-nucleotide non-coding RNA. NCBI's taxonomy places the organism in Eukaryota, Viridiplantae, Streptophyta, Magnoliopsida, Ericales, Theaceae. The record is from RefSeq and is a predicted model, not a curated record.